GUUCUAAACAUUUUCAUCCUUUUCUUAGUUCAAAGAAUUAUAUACUCUUAGUUUGAUGGCCUCAAUGAAGGCGGAGAAACCCCUCGGCUCCAAACCUUCCGCCACUGCCUCGGUCAAAAAGGAGCUUUCCAAGGCUCCCGGAGCCAAGAAGAUCGAGCAAAAGCUUCAAGAGCUCAAAAAGAAGGUAUCGGGUACAACUACAAGGUCAGCAGCUGCAAAGAAGAAAUGAAAGAUUGUAUUUUGAAUUUUAUUUUAUUAGUGCCAUGAUAUAUGCUUGUUGUGUGUGGCCUCUAGGUCUAAUCUCUAUGCAUGUGUGCAAACCCUUCUAGGGUUUAAUUUCCUGUUGAAAUAAAAAGUGUUUUCCAAACUUCUAUAGUGG
Molecule: long non-coding RNA, 379 nt
Organism: Impatiens glandulifera
Lineage: Eukaryota; Viridiplantae; Streptophyta; Magnoliopsida; Ericales; Balsaminaceae
Exons: 2
Source: RefSeq, a predicted model, not a curated record